GCGGAUGUGGUGAAAUGGUAGACACGCUACUUUGAGGGGGUAGUGGGCGUUGGCCUGUGUGAGUUCGAGUCUCACCGUCCGCACAA
This 86-nucleotide transfer RNA is filed under the name Rikenellaceae bacterium. RNAcentral describes it as "tRNA-Leu". It matches the Rfam family "tRNA". Rfam says of the family: Transfer RNA (tRNA) molecules are approximately 80 nucleotides in length. Their secondary structure includes four short double-helical elements and three loops (D, anti-codon, and T loops). Lineage: Bacteria; Pseudomonadati; Bacteroidota; Bacteroidia; Bacteroidales; Rikenellaceae. The record is from RNAcentral.